RNAcentral lists this ribosomal RNA (1297 nucleotides) under Rotylenchus paravitis. RNAcentral describes it as "SSU rRNA". It matches the Rfam family "Eukaryotic small subunit ribosomal RNA", at positions 392 to 1718 of the family's 1831-position model. Lineage: Eukaryota; Metazoa; Nematoda; Chromadorea; Rhabditida; Hoplolaimidae. The record is from RNAcentral.
GGGCCUGAGAAAUGGCCACUACGUCUAAGGAUGGCAGCAGGCGCGCAAAUUACCCACUUCUCAACGCGAGGAGGUAGUGACGAGAAAUAACGAGACCGUUCUCACAAGAGGCCCGGUCAUCGGAAUGGGUACAAUCUAAACCCUUUAACGAGUAUCUAUGAGAGGGCAAGUCUGGUGCCAGCAGCCGCGGUAAUUCCAGCUCUCAAAAUGCAUAGAAUUAUUGCUGCGGUUAAAAAGCUCGUAGUUGGAUCUGUGCUGGUCGCCCGGUCCACUCACUGAGUGCGCACUGGUGCGGCCGGCUUUCUGUCCGGUUCCCACCGGCGUUGACCUUCACCGGCCGGCGUCGGAGGCCGGACAAGUUUACUUUGAACAAAUCAGAGUGCUUCACACAGGCGUUUCGCUUGAAUGUUCGUGCAUGGAAUAAUAGAAGAGGAUUUCGGUCCGAUUUUAUUGGUUUUGCUGACCGAGAUAAUGGUUAACAGAGACAAACGGGGCCAUUCGUAUUGCUGCGUGAGAGGUGAAAUUCUUGGACCGUAGCAAGACGGACUACAGCGAAAGCAUUUGGCAAGAAUGUCUUCAUUAAUCAAGAACGAAAGUCAGAGGUUCGAAGGCGAUCAGAUACCGCCCUAGUUCUGACCGUAAACUAUGCCAACUAGCGAUCCGCCGGCGGAUUCAUUCGCCCUGGUGGGGAGCUUCCCGGAAACGAAAGUCUUCCGGUUCCGGGGGAAGUAUGGUUGCAAAGCUGAAACUUAAAGGAAUUGACGGAAGGGCACCACCAGGAGUGGAGCCUGCGGCUUAAUUUGACUCAACACGGGGAAACUCACCCGGCCCGGACACCGUAAGGAUUGACAGAUUGAUAGCUUUUUCAUGAUUCGGUGGAUGGUGGUGCAUGGCCGUUCUUAGUUCGUGGAGCGAUUUGUCUGGUUUAUUCCGAUAACGAGCGAGACUCUGGCCUACUAAAUAGUUGACGCAUUGCUACUGUGCGCACAACUUCUUAGAGGGAUUUUCGGUGUUCAGCCGCACGAAAUUGAGCAAUAACAGGUCUGUGAUGCCCUUAGAUGUCCGGGGCUGCACGCGCGCUACACUGGCAAAAUCAGCGUGCUUGUCCUUCCCCGAAAGGGGUUGGUAAACCCGUGAAAAUUUGCCGUGAUUGGGAUCGGACAUUGCAAUUAUUGUCCGUGAACGAGGAAUUCCUUGUAGGGGCGAGUCAUCAACUCGCUCCGAAUACGUCCCUGCCCUUUGUACACACCGCCCGUCGCUGCCCGGGACUGACCAUUUCGAGAAACUCGGGGAUUGU